Molecule: long non-coding RNA, 1450 nt
Organism: Myxocyprinus asiaticus (Chinese sucker)
Lineage: Eukaryota; Metazoa; Chordata; Actinopteri; Cypriniformes; Catostomidae
Exons: 3
Source: RefSeq, a predicted model, not a curated record
CCAUUUGAAUGGAAACAGGAAGAAGACCUUUUUUACGCAUUUUCACUUUGUCGAUAACAAAAUAGCGCGAAAAGUGGAUGGAAACUAGGCUAUUGGCAGACGCUCGUGAAUGUCGCUCGUCAUUUGCAUAAAGUUUAAAUUUUCUCAACUUGUCUUGUUGCUCUUCACGGCGAUCUCUGUCGCCAACGGCCGUGGUAGCUCGUGUCGCCGGAAGUCGCUGUGCUCUCAUUGAAAAUGAAUAGGAUCGUGUUUCCAAACCCUGCAAUUUUAUGUAUUUAUUUGUGUAUAUUCAUUUAUAUUACUUAAUAUGGAUAAUAUAUAAUAUAUUGUAGCUUUUGUUUAAAUAUUGUGUAUUUUUCAUAUGUAUAAUAUUUAAUAAAAAGUGGCAACAGGCUAUUGUUCGCUUACGGAGAUAUAUAAAUGUAAGCGUUCUAACUGUAUUAUGUUUAGGUGUAAUUUUGUUGUUGUCCAGCAGGUGUCCUGCAGGAGUCCGUCAAUUUACGGUGCAAUUGGCAAUCUACCAUUCCUCCAGUCCAAAGCGCCUGUAGAUCUAUAAUGAUUUUCAAGAGCAAAGACUUUGACAGCAUUAGCAGGCCUACUUAUUCACUUGAGUUGUAAGUCAGACGAUAACGAACAGACCAACUGAUGACAAAAAGGUGGUUAAAGGGAUGAAUGUAUUAUCACUCUUGGUGGUUACAGAAGGGAAUCUUGCAAACCAUCUCCUAAAGCAGAUCACUGAAGUGACAUUGGUUUUCAAAGAGAUAUUUCUGAGUGAUUUAAAGGAUGUCACAUAUGCUUUUGCUGUACUUAUGGGGCUUCUUAUCCCCAAACAUCAAUUAACCAAGACGCUGAAAUACACAUGAUUUGAGGUAAUCCAAUUAAUUGUCUUAAAGAUUGCUGUUGUAUAGCAAUCUCAAACGCUUUGAAGUUUCACUAUAUUUGUGGGGACAUUUUCAAACAUUUGGCUCUCACAAAACUAAAGCUAAUAGGCUAUACAUAUAUGCUUUGUGUCUUAGCCAGAGAAUGCAGUAACUUUUUCUGUUGUAAACUUAAAAUAAACUUGAAUGUUAAUGUGCUCUUUUAUUGUUAUGAUGGUUUAUUUGUGUCACACCAGUCAUGCCAGAAUAGCUAGAUAGAAGGCUUUGUCAUGUUAACUUAUGUUAAAGAGUAUAUAUCAUAAUUUUUAUUAAUUUUAAGGCAACCAAGUCAUAGACAGUUGUUAUAACAAACUAUAGUUGAUCUGAAUUAAGCUUUAGUAAACAUCAUUUAAAAAUAGGCAUUGCAAUUAUAAAUAUGUUUAAAGUUGAGUUAGCUUUUAUAAGGUUACUGAUAUGACUGGAAUCUUUAUCUCAUGUGAGUGCAUAUGAUUUUUAUUAACAAUUAAUUUGUUGUUGAGUUAUUUAGUUCACAGAAUUUUCUAAAUGUUAUUCUAGUCCUGUUGACUGUUCAU